GAUGAACGCUAGCGAUAGGCUUAACACAUGCAAGUCGAGGGGCAGCAUGGUCUUAGCUUGCUAAGACUGAUGGCGACCGGCGCGCGGGUGCGUAACGCGUAUGCAACUUGCCUCACAGAGGGGGAUAACCCGUCGAAAGACGGACUAAUACCGCGUACACUCUAUGUUGGGCAUCCAAUGUAGAGGAAAUGAAAUUCGCUGUGAGAUAGGCAUGCGUCCCAUUAGCUAGUUGGUGAGGUAACGGCUCACCAAGGCGACGAUGGGUAGGGGUUCUGAGAGGUCUCUU
This 286-nucleotide ribosomal RNA is filed under the name uncultured Porphyromonas sp. RNAcentral's name for it is "partial 16S ribosomal RNA". It matches the Rfam family "Bacterial small subunit ribosomal RNA", at positions 28 to 307 of the family's 1533-position model. The record is from RNAcentral. Lineage: Bacteria; Pseudomonadati; Bacteroidota; Bacteroidia; Bacteroidales; Porphyromonadaceae.